CCUAUUAUACAUUUCUUUAUUGUUUCGAGAGGGUUCACCGUUAAAAUACUCUUGAAGAUGAUAUUAUGUGCCGUUAUUAUAUUUUUUUUAGUGUGAAGCUAAAUAUAUGUGAUUAUUAGCAUAUCUAGAAUCUGCAAGAUAUAC
Molecule: small RNA, 144 nt
Filed under: Arabidopsis thaliana (thale cress)
Lineage: Eukaryota; Viridiplantae; Streptophyta; Magnoliopsida; Brassicales; Brassicaceae
Description: ATSL046470
Source: RNAcentral